AUGAUCAACAGGAACUUGCUGUCACGUGCUUCCGGCGCAACCAUAGUGCUUUCUGGGGGGGGGGAAGGCACCGAGGCUCUCGAACUAUCCCUCCCUCUCUCAGUGAGUCUCAGAAUGGGCUCCGAGGACAGGGAGAUGAGAAGCGAAUUCGGGGAUGGGAGGGACAAAUGGAAGGAAGCUGUCUUCCACCUAGAUUCCUGCCUUUCCCAAAGAGAAGAUCUAGGAAGACCAGGUGAUGGUGGCCAUGACUCUGACAUCUAGGGUCUUGGUGAGUUAUGGUUCCCUCUAACCUUCCUAAGAUCUUGUCCCUUGCUCCCAAGUGUGAUUGGAACAUAUUUCUUUAUCUUGAGGUUUCUCAGGCUAAUAACAGCUUUUCCCCAAUAUGUUUUUCCUCUUAAUAGCAUCCUUUGCAUAAGGUGCUCUCUUGAUUUCACCAUAUAAACAACCUGGC
Molecule: long non-coding RNA, 451 nt
Filed under: Monodelphis domestica (gray short-tailed opossum)
Lineage: Eukaryota; Metazoa; Chordata; Mammalia; Didelphimorphia; Didelphidae
Description: lncRNA (ENSMODG00000048734.1)
Source: RNAcentral